RNAcentral lists this ribosomal RNA (392 nucleotides) under Bacillus sp. 8M2. RNAcentral describes it as "bacterial SSU rRNA". It matches the Rfam family "Bacterial small subunit ribosomal RNA", at positions 43 to 424 of the family's 1533-position model. Lineage: Bacteria; Bacillati; Bacillota; Bacilli; Caryophanales; Bacillaceae. The record is from RNAcentral.
CGUGCCUAAUACAUGCAAGUCGAGCGGACAGAAGGGAGCUUGCUCCCGGNAUGUUAGCGGCGGACGGGUGAGUAACACGUGGGUAACCUGCCUGUAAGACUGGGAUAACUCCGGGAAACCGGAGCUAAUACCGGAUAGUUCCUUGAACCGCAUGGUUCAAGGAUGAAAGACGGUUUCGGCUGUCACUUACAGAUGGACCCGCGGCGCAUUAGCUAGUUGGUGAGGUAACGGCUCACCAAGGCGACGAUGCGUAGCCGACCUGAGAGGGUGAUCGGCCACACUGGGACUGAGACACGGCCCAGACUCCUACGGGAGGCAGCAGUAGGGAAUCUUCCGCAAUGGACGAAAGUCUGACGGAGCAACGCCGCGUGAGUGAUGAAGGUUUUCGGAUC